This 571-nucleotide ribosomal RNA is filed under the name Aureobasidium thailandense. Its description in RNAcentral is "partial large subunit ribosomal RNA". It matches the Rfam family "Eukaryotic large subunit ribosomal RNA", at positions 62 to 648 of the family's 3401-position model. Lineage: Eukaryota; Fungi; Ascomycota; Dothideomycetes; Dothideales; Saccotheciaceae. The record is from RNAcentral.
AAACCAACAGGGAUUGCCCUAGUAACGGCGAGUGAAGCGGCAACAGCUCAAAUUUGAAAGCUGGCCUUCGGGUCCGCAUUGUAAUUUGUAGAGGAUGCUUUGGGGCAGCCGCCUGUCUAAGUUCCUUGGAACAGGACGUCAUAGAGGGUGAGAAUCCCGUAUGUGACAGGACAUGGCACCCUAUGUAAAGCUCCUUCGACGAGUCGAGUUGUUUGGGAAUGCAGCUCUAAAUGGGAGGUAAAUUUCUUCUAAAGCUAAAUACCGGCGAGAGACCGAUAGCGCACAAGUAGAGUGAUCGAAAGAUGAAAAGCACUUUGGAAAGAGAGUUAAAAAGCACGUGAAAUUGUUGAAAGGGAAGCGCUUGCAAUCAGACUUGUUUUGACUGUUCGGCCGGUCUUCUGACCGGUUUAUUCAGUCUGGACAGGCCAGCAUCAGUUUUGGCGGCCGGAUAAAGGCCCAGGGAAUGUGGCUCUCGCUUCGGCGGGAGUGUUAUAGCCCUGGGUGUAAUACGGCCAGCCGGGACUGAGGUCCGCGCUUCGGCUAGGAUGCUGGCGUAAUGGUUGUAAGCGAC